CGGCGGAGAAAAAAGCGGAUGACGGAAUAAAAGUGGACGGUGGGUUUCAAGCAGGCGGUUUGAUGCUGCAAAUUCUACUAAAUGAGCCGCCCAAAUCCAAGUCUGCUCUCAUCCUACAACGGCCUCACCGACAAAUAUCUGACUGGAUACUUUAAUAACGCACGGAUCAGACGGC
Scleropages formosus (Asian bonytongue) is the source of this 175-nucleotide long non-coding RNA. RefSeq lists it as uncharacterized. The record is from RefSeq and is a predicted model, not a curated record. Lineage: Eukaryota; Metazoa; Chordata; Actinopteri; Osteoglossiformes; Osteoglossidae. The transcript is spliced from 3 exons.